Molecule: transfer RNA, 77 nt
Filed under: Alphaproteobacteria bacterium
Lineage: Bacteria; Pseudomonadati; Pseudomonadota; Alphaproteobacteria
Also listed under: 1 other name
Description: tRNA-His
Rfam family: tRNA
About the family: Transfer RNA (tRNA) molecules are approximately 80 nucleotides in length. Their secondary structure includes four short double-helical elements and three loops (D, anti-codon, and T loops).
Source: RNAcentral
GUGGCAUUAGCUCAGGUGGUUAGAGCGCUAGAUUGUGGAUCUAGAGGUCGGGGGUUCAAGUCCCCUAUGCCACCCCA